AGUAGGGCGACACUUUUUUUGCUAUACUUUGUAUACCAAACUUGAAUUUUUAUAUAAAUUGGCAAAAUUGUACGUCAAAAUGAAAAAAUUUAAACGUCGGAAACGUCGUAAUUGUCAAAUUUUGACUCGAACAAUUAUUUCCUAACCGCCAUAUUAUAUUGCAACCACCGAGUAACCACGCCCGGAAUUUUGGAUUUUUAGUUUUUUCUGCAUAUAUAUUUUCUGAGCCCUAAUACUUUAUUGUGAGAAUAUUAUUCGUCGCUUCUAGGGAUUUACUAUGGAAAAUACAGUGAAACAUAAUGUAAGAUAUCAUAAAUGUACUAUUUGUGGUCUAAAGAGGACCCCUGGACUGGAGCCAAUGUAUUUUUGAAGAAGUUUCCACUUGAUCCAGAUCGGUGUCAUUCUUGGGUCAAAGCAGUUGGGAAUGAAGACUGCUUACAUACCCGUUAAAAAAUUGCAUGAAAUUAAAUAUUUGUGUGGAUAUCACUUUGAAAAAAAGUAUUUUAAUACAAAGGGCAAUAGAUUAAUUAAAAAUACUAUUCCAACAUUAAAUUUGCCACAAUCAUUGGAUGUCUUCUAGUCUUUUGGUAGAUUUUCCUUUAUAUGGUGAAGAAAAAGAAAAAUCUCAAGUCUUGAAAGUUUUCAAGAUAUAACAAAUUCAGAGAAUGUGCAAUGCAAUGAAAAUAUUUUAUCUAAAAGUGAGUAAACUACUUUAUUAUAUUAUAUUUAUUUAUGUUGUUAGAAGUAACAAGUGUUUUUAAGAGGUACAGCAUCUUGUUAGUUCAUGUUUGGUUAUGUAAUAUAUUUUUAAUGAUGGAUAAAA
Molecule: long non-coding RNA, 823 nt
Organism: Melitaea cinxia (Glanville fritillary)
Lineage: Eukaryota; Metazoa; Arthropoda; Insecta; Lepidoptera; Nymphalidae
Exons: 4
Source: RefSeq, a predicted model, not a curated record